Molecule: ribosomal RNA, 20 nt
Filed under: Maruca vitrata
Lineage: Eukaryota; Metazoa; Arthropoda; Insecta; Lepidoptera; Crambidae
Description: partial 18S ribosomal RNA
Source: RNAcentral
ACGUUAUAAUAUGCAUUUCA